UACGGGGGGGGCAAGCGUUGUUGCGGAAUUACUGGGCGUAAAGGGCUCGGUAGGCGGCCAACUAAGUCAUACGUGAAAUCCCUCGGCUUAACCGGGGAACUGCGUCUGAUACUGGAUGGCUUGAGUUCGGGAGAGGGAUGCGGAAUUCCAGGUGUAGCGGUGAAAUGCGUAGAUAUCAAGAGGAACACCUGAGGUGAAGACGGGUUGCUGGGCUGACACUGACGCUGAGGCGCGAAAGCUAGGGGAGCAAACGGG
This 255-nucleotide ribosomal RNA is filed under the name uncultured bacterium. Its description in RNAcentral is "partial 16S ribosomal RNA". It matches the Rfam family "Bacterial small subunit ribosomal RNA", at positions 524 to 776 of the family's 1533-position model. The record is from RNAcentral.